UACGUAGGGUGCAAGCGUUGUCCGGAAUUAUUGGGCGUAAAGAGCUCGUAGGCGGUCUGUCGCGUCUGCUGUGAAAACUCGGGGCUUAACCCCGGGCCUACAGUGGGUACGGGCAGACUAGAGUGCGGUAGGGGAGACUGGAAUUCCUGGUGUAGCGGUGAAAUGCGCAGAUAUCAGGAGGAACACCGGUGGCGAAGGCGGGUCUCUGGGCCGUAACUGACGCUGAGGAGCGAAAGCGUGGGGAGCGAACAGG
RNAcentral lists this ribosomal RNA (253 nucleotides) under uncultured bacterium. RNAcentral's name for it is "partial 16S ribosomal RNA". It matches the Rfam family "Bacterial small subunit ribosomal RNA", at positions 524 to 776 of the family's 1533-position model. The record is from RNAcentral.